UUGAACGCUGGCGGAAUGCUUUACACAUGCAAGUCGAACGGCAGCACGGGGGCAACCUUGGUGGCGAGUGGCGAACGGGUGAGUAAUGUAUCGGAACGUACCCAGUCGUGGGGGAUAACUAUCCGAAAGGAUAGCUAAUACCGCAUACGUCCUGAGGGAGAAAGCGGGGGAUCGCAAGACCUCGCGCGAUUGGAGCGGCCGAUAUCGGAUUAGCUAGUUGGUGAGGUAAAGGCUCACCAAGGCGACGAUCCGUAGCGGGUCUGGGAGGACGACCCGCCACACUGGAACUGAGACACGGUCCAGACUCCUACGGGAGGCAGCAGUGGGGAAUUUUGGACAAUGGGGGCAACCCUGAUCCAGCCAUGCCGCGUGAGUGAAGAAGGCCUUCGGGUUGUAAAGCUCUUUCAGACGGAAAGAAACGGUCACGGCGAAUACCCGUGACUAAUGACGGUACCGUAAGAAGAAGCACCGGCUAACUACGU
This 482-nucleotide ribosomal RNA is filed under the name uncultured bacterium. RNAcentral describes it as "bacterial SSU rRNA". It matches the Rfam family "Bacterial small subunit ribosomal RNA", at positions 29 to 506 of the family's 1533-position model. The record is from RNAcentral.